This 122-nucleotide ribosomal RNA is filed under the name Diuraphis noxia (Russian wheat aphid). The record is from RNAcentral. Lineage: Eukaryota; Metazoa; Arthropoda; Insecta; Hemiptera; Aphididae.
GCCAACGGCCAUACCACGUUGAAUACACCAGUUCUCGUCCGAUCACUGAAGUUAAGCAACGUCGGGCGUAGUUAGUACUUGGAUGGGUGACCGCUUGGGAACACUACGUGCCGUUGGCUUUU